UACGUAGGGGGCAAGCGUUAUCCGGAUUUACUGGGUGUAAAGGGGGCGCAGACGGCGAUGCAAGCCAGGAGUGAAAGCCCGGGGCCCAACCCCGGGACUGCUCUUGGAACUGCGUGGCUGGAGUGCAUGAGGGGCAGGCGGAAUUCCUGGUGUAGCGGUGAAAUGCGUAGAUAUCAGGAGGAACACCGGUGGCGAAGGCGGCCUGCUGGACUGCAACUGACGUCGAGGCCCGAAAGCGUGGGGAGCAAACAGG
RNAcentral lists this ribosomal RNA (253 nucleotides) under uncultured bacterium. RNAcentral's name for it is "partial 16S ribosomal RNA". It matches the Rfam family "Bacterial small subunit ribosomal RNA", at positions 524 to 776 of the family's 1533-position model. The record is from RNAcentral.